GCCAUUAUAGCUCAGUAGGUAGAGCUUUAGCUUUGUAAGCUAAGGGUCCUGGGUUCGAGUCCCAGUGGUGGCU
The sequence is a transfer RNA, 73 nucleotides long. It matches the Rfam family "tRNA". From Rfam's summary of the family: Transfer RNA (tRNA) molecules are approximately 80 nucleotides in length. Their secondary structure includes four short double-helical elements and three loops (D, anti-codon, and T loops). Further hydrogen bonds mediate the characteristic L-shaped molecular structure. tRNAs have two regions of fundamental functional importance: the anti-codon, which is responsible for specific mRNA codon recognition, and the 3' end, to which the tRNAs corresponding amino acid is attached (by aminoacyl-tRNA synthetases). tRNAs cope with the degeneracy of the genetic code in two manners: having more than one tRNA (with a specific anti-codon) for a particular amino acid; and 'wobble' base-pairing, i.e. permitting non-standard base-pairing at the 3rd anti-codon position. The record is from Rfam.